UAUGGAGAGUUUGAUUCUGGCUCAGAGUGAACGCUGGCGGCGUGGCUAAGACAUGCAAGUCGAGCGGGAUGAUGAUUGUAGCAAUACAUGAUUUUGAGAGCGGCAAACGGGUGAGUAACACAUAAGCAAUCUGCCUUGAAGUUUGGGAUAGCCCGGGGAAACUCGGAUUAAUACCGGAUGUGGUCCUUUCUCGCAUGGGGGAGGCACUAAAGCUUGCAACGGCGCUUCAAGAGGAGCUUAUGGCCUAUCAGCUAGUUGGCGGGAUAACAGCCCACCAAGGCAAAGACGGGUAGCGGGUCUGAGAGGACGAUCCGCCACACUGGAACUGAGACACGGUCCAGACACCUACGGGUGGCAGCAGUUUCGAAUCAUUCACAAUGGGGGAAACCCUGAUGGUGCGACGUCGCGUGGGGGAUGAAGGUCUUCGGAUUGUAAACCCCUGUCACAUGGGACUAAACGCAAGGUUCAUAGCCUUGCCUGAAUUAACCAUGAGAGGAAGCAGUGGCUAACUCCGUGCCAGCAGCCGCGGUAAUACGGAGACUGCGAGCGUUACUCGGAUUCACUGGGCGUAAAGGGAGCGCAGGCGGACAUGUGUGUUAGGUGUGAAAUCCCGGGGCUUAACUCCGGAAUUGCGCCUAAAACUAUGUGUCUAGAGACUUGGAGGGGUAAGCGGAAUUUGUGGAGUAGCGGUAAAAUGCGCAGAUAUCACAAGGAACACCGAUGGCGAAGGCAGCUUACUGGACAAGAUCUGACGCUCAGGCUCGAAAGCGUGGGUAGCAAAAGGGAUUAGAUACCCCUGUAGUCCACGCCCUAAACGUUGUACACUAGGUCUCGGGGGAUUCAUCCCCUUCGGGGCCCAAGCUAACGCGAUAAGUGUACCGCCUGAGGACUACGACCGCAAGGUUAAAACUCAAAGAAAUUGACGGGGACCCGCACAAGCGGUGGAGCAUGUGGCUUAAUUCGAUGCAACGCGAAGAACCUUACCUGGGUUUGACAUGUAUUGGAAUUUGGCUGAAAGGUCAAAGUCCUUCGGGACUGAUACACAGAUGCUGCAUGGCUGUCGUCAGCUCGUGUCGUGAGAUGUUCGGUUAAGUCCGGCAACGAGCGCAACCCUCGCCCCAUGUUACUCUUCGGAGGUCUCUUGGGGGACAAACCUGUUUUCAGGUGGGAAGGUGGGGAUGACGUCAAGUCAGUAUGGCUCUUACAUCCAGGGCUGCACACGUGCUACAAUGGCCGGUACAAUGGGUUGCUACACUGUAAAGUGAUGCUAAUCUUCAAAGCCGGUCCCAGUUCGGAUUGAGGUCUGCAACUCGACCUCAUGAAGCCGGAAUCGCUAGUAAAGGCGUAUCAGCAACGACGCCUUGAAUACGUUCCCGGGUCUUGUACACACCGCCCGUCAAGUCAUGAAAGCCGAUUUCGCCCGAAGUGCGUGAGCUAACCGCAAGGAAGCAGCGCCCUAAGGCAAGGUUGGUGAUUGGGACUAAGUCGUAACAAGGUAGCCGUAGGGGAACCUGCGGCUGGAUCACCUCCUU
This 1532-nucleotide ribosomal RNA is filed under the name human gut metagenome. Its description in RNAcentral is "Bacterial small subunit ribosomal RNA". It matches the Rfam family "Bacterial small subunit ribosomal RNA". The record is from RNAcentral.